RNAcentral lists this ribosomal RNA (465 nucleotides) under Vreelandella stevensii. Its description in RNAcentral is "partial 16S ribosomal RNA". It matches the Rfam family "Bacterial small subunit ribosomal RNA", at positions 338 to 795 of the family's 1533-position model. Lineage: Bacteria; Pseudomonadati; Pseudomonadota; Gammaproteobacteria; Oceanospirillales; Halomonadaceae. The record is from RNAcentral.
CCUACGGGUGGCAGCAGUGGGGAAUAUUGGACAAUGGGGGGAACCCUGAUCCAGCCAUGCCGCGUGUGUGAAGAAGGCCCUCGGGUUGUAAAGAACUUUCAGUGAGGAAGAACGCCUGGUGGUUAAUACCCAUCAGGAAAGACAUCACUCACAGAAGAAGCACCGGCUAACUCCGUGCCAGCAGCCGCGGUAAUACGGAGGGUGCGAGCGUUAAUCGGAAUUACUGGGCGUAAAGCGCGCGUAGGUGGCUUGAUAAGCCGGUUGUGAAAGCCCCGGGCUCAACCUGGGAACGGCAUCCGGAACUGUCAAGCUAGAGUGCAGGAGAGGAAGGUAGAAUUCCCGGUUUAGCGGUGAAAUGCGUAGAGAUCGGGAGGAAUACCAGUGGCGAAGGCGGCCUUCUGGACUGACACUGACACUGAGGUGCGAAAGCGUGGGUAGCAAACAGGAUUAGAUACCCUUGUAGUC